CCUACGGGUGGCAGCAGUGGGGAAUAUUGCACAAUGGGGGAAACCCUGAUGCAGCGACGCCGCGUGAGUGAAGAAGUCUUUCGGGAUGUGAAGCUCUAUCAGCAGGGAAGAAAAUGUCGGUAUCUGAUUCCUAAGCCCCGGCUAACUACGUCCCAGCAGCCGCGGUAAUACGUAGGGGGCAAACGUUAUCCGGAAUUACUGGGUGAAAAGGGAGCGUAGACGGUAGAACAAGUCAGGAGUGAAAUGCCGGGGCUUAACCCCGGAACUGCUUUUGAAACUGGGCAGCUAGAGUGCAGGAGAGGGAAGUAGAAUUCCUAGUGUAGCGGUGAAAUGCGUAGAUAUGAGGAGGAACACCAGUGGCGAAGGCGGCUUACUGGACUGUAACUGACGUUGAGGCUCGAAAGCGUGGGGAGCAAACAGGAUUAGAUACCCGAGUAGUC
Molecule: ribosomal RNA, 440 nt
Filed under: uncultured bacterium
Lineage: Bacteria
Description: partial 16S ribosomal RNA
Rfam family: Bacterial small subunit ribosomal RNA
Source: RNAcentral